ACUCCUACGGGAGGCAGCAGUGGGGAAUAUUGCACAAUGGGCGCAAGCCUGAUGCAGCCAUGCCGCGUGAGUGAUGAAGGCCCUAGGGUUGUAAAGCUCUUUCACCGGUGAAGAUAAUGACGGUACCGCAAGAAUAAGCCCCGGCUAACUUCGUGCCAGCAGCCGCGGUAAU
RNAcentral lists this ribosomal RNA (172 nucleotides) under uncultured bacterium. RNAcentral describes it as "partial 16S ribosomal RNA". It matches the Rfam family "Bacterial small subunit ribosomal RNA", at positions 335 to 524 of the family's 1533-position model. The record is from RNAcentral.